RNAcentral lists this ribosomal RNA (460 nucleotides) under uncultured bacterium. RNAcentral's name for it is "partial 16S ribosomal RNA". It matches the Rfam family "Bacterial small subunit ribosomal RNA", at positions 338 to 795 of the family's 1533-position model. The record is from RNAcentral.
CCUACGGGAGGCAGCAGUGAGGAAUAUUGGUCAAUGGCCGGAAGGCUGAACCAGCCAUGCCGCGUGAAGGUCAGUGCCCUAUGGGCGUUAAACUUCUUUUGUGCGGGAGCAAUAAUGGUCACGUGUGGCCAGACGAGAGUACCGUACGAAUAAGCAUCGGCUAACUCCGUGCCAGCAGCCGCGGUAAUACGGGGGAUGCAAGCGUUAUCCGGGUUUAUUGGGUUUAAAGGGUGCGUAGGCUGGGAGGUAAGUCAGCGGGGAAAUGCCCCCGGUCAACGGGGUGAAGGGCCAUUGAUACUGGCUGGCUGGAAUGCGGAUGCAGUGGGAGGAAUGUGUGGUGUAGCGGUGAAAUGCAUAGAUAUCACACAGAACACCGAUUGCGAAGGCAUCUCACGAAUCCGCGAUUGACGCUGAUGCACGAAAGCGUGGGUAUCGAACAGGAUUAGAUACCCGGGUAGUC